Molecule: long non-coding RNA, 597 nt
Organism: Sitodiplosis mosellana (orange wheat blossom midge)
Lineage: Eukaryota; Metazoa; Arthropoda; Insecta; Diptera; Cecidomyiidae
Exons: 3
Source: RefSeq, a predicted model, not a curated record
CGAAGUCAAAGGGUUGGAAAGUAAAUUGAAAAGCUAUAAUAUGCUGUCUACUAAUUUCAACCUCGAAAACAGUAAAGGUUCUGUAAUUUUUCUGAAGAAAGAAAUCGAAUACCGCCAAGUUUAUGUUGAUGAUCAAUACGACAUAAUUUUCAUGGAGAUUAAAAAGAACGACAAAUGGAUUUUGUUUGGAUUAAUCUAUAUUGGACCACGUGUACGUACUGCUGAAAAUAGAAAAAUACUAAAUAAAAUGAAAGCGAAAAUCGAUGAAUAUCCUCCUGAGAAGCGUAUAAUCGUUGGUGAUUUCAAUUGUGGUAUGAGUUAUUACGACGGUAUCGCUUACGAGACGAAACCCAAUUACUCUAAAGGGAUAGGAGAAGGGAUCUCUCAAUUUCAAAACAGUUUGGAUUUAUUACAAAUUGAACGAAGAUUAUAUCUGGUCUUAAUUCCUGGACGAGUCUGAACACGACAGAAAAUAUAACAUUCAACUAUAACAUAGCACCGCUAAAGAAUUUUCGCGGAGCGGAGACAUCCGAAUUUCUGUUGGCACCCCGUAAAUUAUACAAGGAUGGGUUUUGUGAUGUCCAGGAGCAUUCCAAC